AGCUGUGCUGUGUGUUCAAAGCGAACUAUUCUUUCGCCUUUUACUGAAGAUUACCGUGAACACAUUGUCUAAAGCAGCAUACAUCAAUUUUUGGACGGUAUUUCUCUUUGAAAUGCCU
This 118-nucleotide small nuclear RNA is filed under the name Cephalotus follicularis. RNAcentral describes it as "U5 spliceosomal RNA". It matches the Rfam family "U5 spliceosomal RNA". From Rfam's summary of the family: U5 RNA is a component of both types of known spliceosome. The record is from Rfam by way of RNAcentral. Lineage: Eukaryota; Viridiplantae; Streptophyta; Magnoliopsida; Oxalidales; Cephalotaceae.